GAUUUCUUCAGCUUUGAAUAAUCCCUUUAGGAUCUGACCAAAGAUAUCUGAUCGGGUACUUUCAAACCUAAGCCUUAUACAUCCCCACAACUUCAUCCGCAGAUGCCUACUAAACGACGACAAGAGGAGGACACAGUACGCCCUACGCACUCACCACACGUCCCUACAUCAGGAACAUAGCUGAACUGACAGCAAGACUCCUAAGAUCACUAGGAAUCAUGGUGGCCCGCAAGCCCACAGCCGCUGUAAGGAAGAACCUUGAUAACAGGACCUAGGAAACUUGCUAACCAGCCCUGUGAACUCGGAGAUACGAAACAGUACAAGAUGGGAUCAGCUACACAGUUUAAACUCAUCAGCAGGAGCCCAACAUGGUAAACCUCAAAAAUACUGUCAGCAAAGGGACAGUCAUACUCAAAUAUGCUUCGAACCAUCAGGAAAAUGUGAUAAGGAGCAAAGCAAGCCAGGAAAAUGAUAAUUGUCCCAGAUACCAAUUUUUUUAUUCUUAAUUUCCGCUUUCUUUCAGACCCACGGAGUUUGUGGACAACCCUCAGCACUUUAUAGUAAGAGUAGAGAAAUAAAAUCAAAGGAAGGCCGAAGCCAAUUGAAAGUUUGUAAAUAUUUAAAUAUCUGUCCUUUUGACGCAGUGGAUAAUGUUCAAAACACAGAGUGUCAUUCCCCUCGUCUUUACUGAGAACCUUGGAGCCCAUGUAAAUGGUGCAGACAGCUAUCUCCUUGAGCCAGAUGAGAAUACUGAUGAGCAAAGCAGCCUUCCUGCUGUGUAUGAAUUUAAAUUUCAGAGGGUAAGCCACAACGAGGAAGCGAUUAAUGGCAAUGAAGCAGAGGAAGCCAAUGCUGAUGUAGAUAUUCUGGUAGAGGAGCAGACCACUGAAGAUGCAAAGUUCCCGAGAAUGUUGCCAGUCAUCAUGUUGCAGCAUGUACUGAAUCCACAAAGGUAAGGAAAGGAGGUACAACAGGUCUGAGAUGGUCAGAUUGCAGAGGUAGAUUCCCAGCUCAUUCUUCUGUCUGAUCUGUAGGUAGCUGUGAUACAGGGACAGGAGGUUAGUUGGGAGCCCAAUGAUGAAGACCCCAAUGUAGACGGUGGGAAACAGGAUCUGGUGGAUUCUGUGGUCAACAGAGCAGUUAACCAUCAUUCAGCACAACCCUGGAAUGAUCCGUCGAAUAAAUGUUUUUUGUGGAGUCCUCAGUUUGCAGUCUUCAAGCUUUUGUACAAUCGUGUAUUUAAUACCUCUUUCCUGAAACGUGACUCCCUAAGCGUAAAAGCAAAGAAUUUAUGAAUCAUCCAAUUGCAGAUGGUGGAGCCAACACCAA
Molecule: long non-coding RNA, 1329 nt
Organism: Stegostoma tigrinum
Lineage: Eukaryota; Metazoa; Chordata; Chondrichthyes; Orectolobiformes; Stegostomatidae
Exons: 3
Source: RefSeq, a predicted model, not a curated record